AGCUCCAAUAGCGUAUAUUAAAGUUGUUGCGGUUAAAAGCUCGUAGUUGGAUUUCUGUUUGAGACGGCCGGUCCGCACUUAGUGCGUGUAUCUGGUUUGGCUCGGGCAUCCUCGUGGGGAUCGUUUCUGUGCUUCAUUGCAUGGGGCGGAAUUCACGACUUUUACUUUGAGGAAAUUAGAGUGUUCACGGCAAGCAAUCGCUUUGAAUACAUUAGCAUGGAAUAAUAAUAUAGGGCUUGCGUUCUAUUUUGUUGGUUUCUAGAACAUAAGCAAUGAUUAAUAGGGACAAUUGGGGGCAUUCGUAUUAACGCGUCAGAGGUGGAAUUCUUAGAUUGCGUUACGACGAACUACUGCGAAAGCAUUUGCCAAGGAUGUUUUCA
Molecule: ribosomal RNA, 380 nt
Filed under: uncultured eukaryote
Lineage: Eukaryota
Description: SSU rRNA
Rfam family: Eukaryotic small subunit ribosomal RNA
Source: RNAcentral